RNAcentral lists this ribosomal RNA (404 nucleotides) under uncultured bacterium. Its description in RNAcentral is "bacterial SSU rRNA". It matches the Rfam family "Bacterial small subunit ribosomal RNA", at positions 355 to 756 of the family's 1533-position model. The record is from RNAcentral.
UGAGGAAUAUUGGGCAAUGCCCGCAAGGGUGACCCAGCAACGCCGCGUGGAGGAUGAAUGUCGUAAGAUUGUAAACUCCUGUUAGAGGGGAAGAAUAGUACCGGUUGGACCGGUAUAUGACUGUACCCUCAGAGAAAGCCCCGGCUAACUACGUGCCAGCAGCCGCGGUAAUACGUAGGGUGCAAGCGUUGUCCGGAUUUACUGGGUGUAAAGGUCGCGCAGGCGGGAUAAAAAGUCAGUGGUGAAAUCCUACAGCUUAACUGUAGAACUGCCGAUGCUACUUUUAUUCUUUAGUUCGGGAGAGAGGGACGGAAUUCCAGGUGUAGUGGUGAAAUACGUAGAUAUCUGGAAGAACACCAGUUGCGAAGGCGGUCUCUUGGUCCGACACUGACGCUGAGGCGCGA